This 745-nucleotide long non-coding RNA is filed under the name Medicago truncatula (barrel medic). RNAcentral describes it as "lncRNA gene5383". Lineage: Eukaryota; Viridiplantae; Streptophyta; Magnoliopsida; Fabales; Fabaceae. The record is from RNAcentral.
GUUUUGAGUCGAUUCAUUCUUCAUCUGAUAAUGUUUUGAAUCGAUUCGAAGUUCUUGACCUUCGUGUCAAUCGUCAUAGUUUUAAGAUUUUUCAUUGUUACACUAAUUGUAUCGAUUCACACAUCAUGUGAUUCCAUUCAAGUUUCUUUUUUAAGUGUUAUUUUGAGGCAAUCUUGCUCCUUUCACUCACACAUAUAUAUACCUUCACUUACUCAUUUUCUCACUCAUAGAAUUAGUUUUCAAAAACACUCUAAAGUCUCUAGACUCUCUUUUUCUACAAACUUCUUCAGAUUAAACAUUUUUUCUAAGAACUAUUGUAGGAUUUGAGAUCUAGAUUGUUAGGGUGUUGUAGUGUAAUUGUAAUAUUAUUUUCUUUCAAGGAUCUUGGUGGAGCAAUAAGGAUAUGAAGGAAAAGGAGGUACUUUUUACAUCCAAGGGUAAUUGUGGGGGUUGUUUCUCAAACUUUCAAGGUUCAAGGGGAUCGAAGUGGAGGCAUAGCAAAGAAUAUUUCUCAGAGUAGAAGAUUGAAGGAUUGCAUGAAAGCAUGAGGUUCAAAGACCUUGUGGAUUGUUUGAUUUCAAGAAAGCUUGAAGACUUGAUUUUUUGUGUGAUUGCUUAGCAUAAAAGAUUAGGAAUCGAAGGAAUCUUUGCAAUUAUACAUUUGUAAAUAUUUUCAACAUCAUAGUGGAAAUCCGUAGAAGAGGUGUUUUCUUCUACGAAGAUUGAAUAUACCCUUAGAAAGGAC